CCCUUGUUCUAAAAAUCGGCCGCCUAGCCGAUUAAUUGGGCGAGUAAUCGUAAAGCAGAAGGUAACCGUGGCGAAAUGGUUCAAAUCGUUUCAUUCUACGCUCGUCCUUUUAAUAAGCAAAAUCGCUUGGCCCAAACACGUUACUUCUUCAUGUAUAUAAUUUAGUUUGGCCCAAAUUUUUGUUAAACACAUAUAUUUGCCAUCGUCCAAUCUCCAAACCAACUAUUAAGUAUUAAUUUAACCCAAUCAUCUCCCAAACUUUAUUCCCUACAAGAUAUGAACUCGUUGCAUUGCAACGGGUUUUGUUUGAUUUUUAAUUUAAUCAAAAUCCAUUUUAUGAUUGUUUUUGGCUAUGUUGUUUGAAAUUUAAUUUAUAAUUAAAACUCGUUUUCAUACAUAAGUUCAAACUAAUAUUUGUAUUUUAUAACCAUGGUGCAAAUAUGAAUUGUUAUGAACUUUGUACUUAGGAUUAGAGAAAAUAUUAUACAUAAACGUUUAAACUGAACACAACCCAAAAUAAAAAAUUGAAUGAAAAAGUAAAAAGAAAUGAAAGUCAAAUACAUCAAUCAAGUCAAAACAUUAUACAUGUUCUUAUGUACUAAACUAAUGUUUUAUUAAAUAAGUUUUUAAAAUUUUAUUUUGUUAGGAUUUUUUUUAAAAAGGAAAAAAUUCUAUUUUAUAAAUCUCCUUUUUAUUUGCAAUUAAAAAAAUAAAACAAAACUAAUAUUAAAUACUCUUUUACAAAAAAUUUAAAUAUUUUAGAAAACAUAACCUAUUACAAUGAUCUUCUCUUUAGCAUUUUGGAAAAAACAAAUUGCUAUCGAAUAAUUAUUUUUAGUUAUUAAUAAAUAAUUCUAAAAUUAAUAUUUUUUACGAUUCGUAUCAAUACUAGUUUUAUUGAUUAAAUAAUAUUUAGUAUCAUGUUCAUCCUCAAAUACUCUCUUAAAAAUAAUAUCAAAUAAAUGUUUACGAUUCUCUUUUGGUUAGAACUUAAAAAUAUGAUACAAAUUUCUUUUGGUAAGGAUUUGUUUUAUAAAAAAAAAAAGAAAACAACUAUCAAAUAUUAUUUUACAGUUUUUUUGGGGUUUUAGAAAAGGAAAUUCAUAUUACAUAUCUUUUACAAUUAUAUUCUGUAUAGGAUUUAAAAAAAUAAAAUUUCUAUCAAAUAAUUAUUUCAAGUUAAUAUUAACUAUUUUUAAAUGUUGCCAUUUUAAACAUUCAUUUUUUUUUUCAAUAUCACUAAUAUUUUUACAUUUUUUUGUUAAUUAAAUAUUUGUCACUAUCAUGUUUUCAUCAUUAAUUGUUUUGAGUAAAAAUUACUAUUAAAUAAAAUUUUCAAUUUUCUCUUUCAAUAUUUUUUUUAAAAAAUAAUAAUAAUUGGUUAGAUCUCUUUUAUUUAAGAUAUUAGGAAAAGAAGAAGUUAUUUUCACGUAAUGACAAUUUUUAUUGACACAUUCACAAUCUAAUUUGUUUAAUUGACACAAUGUCACAAAUCACAAUCAUAUAAGGUAAAAUAUUUGAAGUUAAUUUUGGUUUAUAUUUUGUAACACAAAAUUAUAAAAAAGUAAAGUUAGUUAAUUAUAAGAAAAAUAAGAUUAUUUUAUAUUUUCAUUUUAUUUAGACUUUUAAAAAGGAAAAUAAUUAUUUUAUAAUUAGUUUUUUCUUUUAGAUUUUUAUACAACUAUUUUAUUUUUAAAAGAAAAAGUUCUGUUUAAUUAUUUAUAUAUUUUGUUUUAUACAUACAAACGCAUAUUCAUCAUAUUCACACAUACUCAUGUACGACAACAACUUCAAAAUUAAAAGUUAUGUUAUCAUCAUAAGAUGUAAUAAGGAUAAUAAAAAAAUAAAUUGUAUCAAGAAAUUAAAAGAAAAUAUUCAGGUAAUACUUUUCUUGUAAAUACUAUUGUGUAUUGUAAAAAUAAUAUGUCGAGCUUAACCUAAAUAUAUAUGUGAAAUAAAUAUUAUACAAUUAAUAUAUAUAUGUGGUCAUAGUUUUUAAUAUACAAUUAUUUAUUAAAAAGGAAAGUUAGUUACUUAUAAGAAAAUAAUAAGAGUACUUUUACUAUUUUCUUUUAAUUAUGCUUUAAAAAGCUAAUAUUAUUUAUUUUAAAGUUAGUUUUUCUUCAUGUUUUUAUUAAAUAAUUUAUUAUAUUUCUAGGAUUUUUUGUUUCUUAAACGUUAAUAUUUAUUUUUUAUAAUUCUCUAUCUUUAGUAUCUUUUAAAAAAACAUUAUAAUAAAAAUAAUAAUAAUAAGACUAUUAACUAAUAUUUAUAAUUAACUUUGAAGGAAAAUCCUUUUUAUUAUUAGGAAGAAAUAUUCAUAGAUAUUGUUUUAUUUAAAAUUUUAAACUAAUAAUAACUUCAAUAUUUCACUUGAUAUGAUUGCAACAUGUGUCAAUUAAAAAGAUUAAAUUUUGAAAUGUGUUUAAUAAAAAGAAGCCACUUUUAAAGUGUGUUUAACAUCUUAUGCAAUUAUCUUUUGAUUAGGAUUUAAAAAAGGAUAAUUACUAUUAAGAAAUAUUAUUUUAUUAUUUUAGUGUAUACAUUUUUGAUUAUGAGAUAGUUUAACACAUAUCACAUUUUUAAAUAUAUAACUAACAUGUGUCACAAUCAUGUUAAUUAGCAAUUUUGAAGAAUCAAGCUCAAUAUAAUCUUUUAUAAUUAUAUUUCCAUUAAAGUUUUAGAAAAGGAAAAUUAUAUUAAAUAAAUUGCUUUCAAAUCUUUUUUUCAGGAUUUUGAAAAAGGAAAAUUUCUAAAAGCAUUACUACUAAAUAUUUUUUAAAGAUUAUUUUUAAAAGUAGUUUAUAUACAUGUGUUUAAAUAAUUUUUAAAAGUAGUUUUUUUAAUUCGUUUUAAUUAUCUUAUUAUAUAUUUUUAACAUUAUAUAUUUAAACACAUGUCCCAAUAUUCAGAAAGAAAAUUACUAUCAAAUAAUAUUUUGCAAUUAUCUUUUGAUUAAGAUUUUACAAAAGGAAAUUACUAUUAAAUAAUAUUUAGAAUUACUUUUAAUAAAAUUCAUUUUUGUUAAUAUCUUAGUAUAUAUAUUUUUAAUUAUGAGAUUGAUUAACACAUGUCACAAUCUUAAAAUAUAUAAUUGUCAUGUGUCGCGAUCAUGUUAAUUAGCAACUUUGAAAAACCAAGCUUUAUAAAUAAUAUUUAGAAUUACUAACACAUGUCCCAAUAUUCAGAAAGAAAAUUACUAUCAAAUAAUAUUUUGCAAUUAUCUUUUGAUUAAGAUUUUACAAAAGGAAAGUUACUAUUAAAUAAUAUUUAGAAUUACUUUUAAUAAAAUUCAUUUUUGUUAAUAUCUUAGUAUAUAUAUUUUUAAUUAUGAGAUUGAUUAACACAUGUCACAAUCUUAAAAUAUAUAAUUGUCUUGUGUCGCGAUCAUGUUAAUUAGCAACUUUGAAAAACCAAGCUUUAUAUAAUAAGAUACAAAAAAUUCUCCAUUUUCUUUGAAACCCUGACUUUGAAAACUAACAAAAUCUCAUUGGAACAUAUAUUAUAUAUGUUUGAUGUGUAACUGUAACAUGUAUUAUACAUAAAUACAUAUAAAUGAAGUAUUAUACAUGUAAAAAUACCAAAAAUUCCGCCUCGUGUACUUCCCGAUUUUUUCCCGCUUUUUUGAUAACUCGCUAGGCCCGGGUGCGCCGCACGCGUUAUGCCUACCGAGUUUCCGAACAAGGCUCCGCUCACAUGAAAAAACCGGUGGUCCAAACGCUAGGCCCAACUUCUGCCAGUGAGAAAAUUCUUUGAUGCCCCUAUACCUUAUAUACCUUAUUUCUUUAACAAGUGGGGGUUGCGUAAUGAUUACAUUCAUGUAAUCAUGAGUCUUUAUACACACAACCGUUUGAAUUUGUGUAGUCUCUCUCUCUCUCUCACGCUCAUUCUAUUAUUUAUUUUUAAUACAUUCUUGUUUAUCUCUUUCUUCUUUGCAUGUUCAAUUCUCAGCUUUUUUUUUGUAAAAAAAAAUUAAAUUCAAUCCAAAAACUUUUGUCUCUCCUCAAAGUGUGUCCACAUUCGUAGUACGAAAACUUGUUUUUUCUAAUGGAUCACAUGCAUGAAGGACAUGUUAGUUUUGAAUGUGGUUGCACGGCGGCGCGUGUGUGGACUCGUCUUUGGAAAAAGCGGGUGAGCCAUUUAUGUUUCCGCAGGCAAGGGCUGUUCCCAAGAGAAACAAUCAAGGAUCGCUUUCCCGUUGUCUCUUCCACUGCUCUCCAUCAGAUUUUUUUAGGUUUAUAGUAAAACAAAGCUCUUUCUCACUUCAUGCUCCAAAAAAUGUUAACUUUCUAACCAUCACCAUCCAUCGCGCCUCCGCUGCAUUACCGUGGCCAAGUACCAUCUCCGGUGGGUCAGUUCAGAAGACAGAGUUGGUUAAGGGUAAAGUACUCGAGUCGUGUUCUUCUUCUUAGUUGUUACCGUAGUUACUGAAAAAAAAUUUCACUUUUCUUUAAUGAUGUAAUUUGUGAAAUUACUGGUUAAUGGAUUUUACUUAUCAUUUUUUGCUAUAGUUAGCCGGUUACAAAAACACACAUGAAAUAUCAUAAUACCAAAUGCAAUAUAUUUAUUUGGCUACAUUGUAUACCUAACUUAUAAUGUAUACCGGUUAUCUCAAGUAGUUGCUAGUUAUUUAAGUUAGUAGUCGGUUAUUUUUGUCUCCAAUAAUAUAACACAUAUGUGUCUCUAUUGAUAUAUCUAUAAACAUACAAUUAUUCAGUUAUUUCUAAUAGUUUCUGGUUAUUUAAAUUAGUAGUCGGUUAAUUCUAAUAGUUGAUGGUUAUUUAAAUUAGUGGUCAGUUAUCUUUUAUUUGUAAUAAUAUAACAUGUAUUUGUCUCUAUUGAUAUGAGACAUGUGUAUUUAUAAUGGUUGUAGUUAUCUAAUGGUUGUUAGUUAUUAUCUGGUUAUCUCAGAUAACAUACGUAUUGGAUGGUCACUAUUAAAUUAUACUUGAAUGACAUAACAUGUAUGUUUCACAGAAUCAUGUUGUUCAUAUCCAAUAAGUUAGGUAGUAUAUACUAAUUAUCUGGAUAUCAAUACUCUUAGCUAGUGUUCAUUUCUUCACUCAAAUAAAAAAUACAUUUAGCGCAAUAUAGUUAUCCGGCUAUAAUCAUAUAUCAAAUAAAAAAUUAAUUACUUUUCCGAUUAUAGUUAUUCGGCUACAUAUAGUUUCUCGACUAUAGUUAUCCGUCCACAUAUGUUUUUCGAUAUAGUAAACAGCCAGACCAUUAGUCCGUCGUCGUCUCCGGGAACCUCCUUUCUUAUCUUCUUCUUCUUUUUCAUCCUCUCUCAUCUUUUUAUUUUUUUUCUCUCCUCUUUUUCUUCUUCCUCCUAUAUAGCAUCCUAUAUCAUUCCUCACCAGACUGAAAUGAAGGCGAGCUGUUGCAAACGCGAGGUGACGGUGUGACGGUGAGCCUGAGCUGAGGAGAGGUAAUUAUAUUGUGAUAGCGAGCUUGAGCAGAUGUAAUGGUGUGAUGGCGUGACGGUGAGAUGGUGCGACGGUGUGACGGCAAUAGCAAAGAAGGGAACUUGAAAAAUUUGAAGAGAAAAAGAGAGGUGAGAUUAAGAGACAUAGAAAAUUUAAGAAACUUUAAAGAAAGAGAUAAAAUGAGAGAGGUGGGAUCUGUGGACAUAGGAGAAAGAGAUAAGAGAGGAGA
Molecule: long non-coding RNA, 5655 nt
Organism: Brassica rapa (field mustard)
Lineage: Eukaryota; Viridiplantae; Streptophyta; Magnoliopsida; Brassicales; Brassicaceae
Source: RefSeq, a predicted model, not a curated record